CCUACGGGAGGCAGCAGUGAGGAAUAUUGGUCAAUGGCCGGAAGGCUGAACCAGCCAAGCCGCGUGAAGGAUGAAGGUCCUAUGCAUUGUAAACUUCUUUUGUCAGGGGAUAAAAUCAGGCUCGUGAGCCUGACCGUGGGUACUUGAAGAAUAAGCAUCGGCUAACUCCGUGCCAGCAGCCGCGGUAAUACGGAGGUAUCGAGCGUUAUUCGGAUUUAUUGGGGUUAAAGGGUGCGUAGGCGGGGUUGUAAGGCAGGGGUGAAAGGCGCGGGCUCAACCCGCGGGGAGCGGUUGAUACUGGCUGUCUUGAGUGGUGGAGAGGUAGGCGGAAUGCGCGGUGUAGCGGUGAAAUGCUUAGAUAUUGAGCAGAACUCCGAUGGCGAAGGCAGCAUACUGGACGCGAACUGACGCUGAGGCACGAAAGCGUGGGGAGCGAACAGGAUUAGAUACCCCGGUAGUC
RNAcentral lists this ribosomal RNA (460 nucleotides) under uncultured bacterium. RNAcentral's name for it is "partial 16S ribosomal RNA". It matches the Rfam family "Bacterial small subunit ribosomal RNA", at positions 338 to 795 of the family's 1533-position model. The record is from RNAcentral.